Molecule: ribosomal RNA, 500 nt
Filed under: uncultured bacterium
Lineage: Bacteria
Description: partial 16S ribosomal RNA
Rfam family: Bacterial small subunit ribosomal RNA
Source: RNAcentral
ACUCAAAUGAAUAGACGGGGACCCGCACAAGCGGUGGAGCAUGUUGUUUAAUUCGAUGAUACGCGAGGAACCUUACCAGCCUUUGACAUGUACAUUAUACUUUCUGGAAACAGAUCGUUUCGGUUCGGCCGGGUGUACACAGGUGUUGCAUGGCCGUCGUCAGCUCGUGUCGUGAGAUGUUGGGUUAAGUCCCGCAACGAGCGCAACCCCUAUUGUUAGUUGCUACCAUUUAGUUGAGCACUCUAACGAGACUGCCGAUGAUAAAUCGGAGGAAGGUGGGGAUGACGUCAGGUCAUCAUGGCCCUUACAGGCUGGGCUACAAACGUGCUACAAUGGCAGUGACAGAGGGUCGCUACUUCGCGAGAAGAUGCAAAUCCUUAAAAGCUGUCUCAGUUCAGAUUGCAGGCUGCAACUCGCCUGCAUGAAGUCGGAAUCGCUAGUAAUCGCAGAUCAGCAACGCUGCGGUGAAUACGUUCCCGGGUCUUGCACACACCGCCCGU